Molecule: ribosomal RNA, 336 nt
Filed under: Escherichia coli
Lineage: Bacteria; Pseudomonadati; Pseudomonadota; Gammaproteobacteria; Enterobacterales; Enterobacteriaceae
Description: bacterial SSU rRNA
Rfam family: Bacterial small subunit ribosomal RNA
Source: RNAcentral
AGAGAUCUGGAGGAAUACCGGUGGCGAAGGCGGCCCCCUGGACGAAGACUGACGCUCAGGUGCGAAAGCGUGGGGAGCAAACAGGAUUAGAUACCCUGGUAGUCCACGCCGUAAACGAUGUCGACUUGGAGGUUGUGCCCUUGAGGCGUGGCUUCCGGAGCUAACGCGUUAAGUCGACCGCCUGGGGAGUACGGCCGCAAGGUUAAAACUCAAAUGAAUUGACGGGGGCCCGCACAAGCGGUGGAGCAUGUGGUUUAAUUCGAUGCAACGCGAAGAACCUUACCUGGUCUUGACAUCCACGGAAGUUUUCAGAGAUGAGAAUGUGCCUUCGGGAAC